UUGCAUCUAAGUCCCAAACCCUCUACAAAACCAUUUUUAAUCUCUAUCAGUGCUUCAAUUUCAUCCGUCAAUCUCCAAACCCUCUUCAAAGUUUUCUCAAGAAAACACAUAUUCAGUCACUAAAAUCUUAUACAUAGUCAAAAAUGGUGAAAAAACAUAGUACUCCAAAACGACAAAAAGUAGCCGAUAUUCCAUCAUUUGAUUUGGGUGUUUUAACACCUAAAUCUCCAAUAAAAAGACAACAAUCUGUCCAUGCAAGUGGAAAAGAAAGGGUUCCUGCAUCGCCGAGACAAAUCAGAGCUGAAACUCGUCCAAA
RNAcentral lists this long non-coding RNA (316 nucleotides) under Nicotiana benthamiana. RNAcentral describes it as "long non-coding RNA (NBEN_LNC026669)". The record is from RNAcentral. Lineage: Eukaryota; Viridiplantae; Streptophyta; Magnoliopsida; Solanales; Solanaceae.